RNAcentral lists this ribosomal RNA (496 nucleotides) under uncultured bacterium. Its description in RNAcentral is "partial 16S ribosomal RNA". It matches the Rfam family "Bacterial small subunit ribosomal RNA", at positions 29 to 507 of the family's 1533-position model. The record is from RNAcentral.
AUGAACGCUGGCGGCGUGCCUAAUACAUGCAAGUCGCGCGAACGGACGAGAAGCUUGCUUUUCUGAUGUUAGCGGCGGACGGGUGAGUAACUCGUGGAUAACCUACCUAUAAGACUGGGAUAACUUCGGGAAACCGGAGCUAAUACCGGAUAAUAUUUUGAACCGCAUGGUUCAAAAGUGAAAGACGGUCUUGCUGUCACUUAUAGAUGGAUCCGCGCUGCAUUAGCUAGUUGGUAAGGUAACGGCUUACCAAGGCAACGAUGCAUAGCCGACCUGAGAGGGUGAUCGGCCACACUGGAACUGAGACACGGUCCAGACUCCUACGGGAGGCAGCAGUAGGGAAUCUUCCGCAAUGGGCGAAAGCCUGACGGAGCAACGCCGCGUGAGUGAUGAAGGUCUUCGGAUCGUAAAACUCUGUUAUUAGGGAAGAACAUAUGUGUAAGUAACUGUGCACAUCUUGACGGUACCUAAUCAGAAAGCCACGGCUAACUACGUG